CAGUCGCCGCGGGAAUACGUAGGUGGCAAGCGUUGUCCGGAAUUAUUGGGCGUAAAGGGCUCGCAGGCGGUUUCUUAAGUCUGAUGUGAAAGCCCCCGGCUCAACCGGGGAGGGUCAUUGGAAACUGGGAAACUUGAGUGCAGAAGAGGAGAGUGGAAUUCCACGUGUAGCGGUGAAAUGCGUAGAGAUGUGGAGGAACACCAGUGGCGAAGGCGACUCUCUGGUCUGUAACUGACGCUGAGGAGCGAAAGCGUGGGGAGCGAACAAGAUUAGAGACCCCCGUAGUCCCUGUCUCUUAUAC
RNAcentral lists this ribosomal RNA (301 nucleotides) under uncultured bacterium. Its description in RNAcentral is "partial 16S ribosomal RNA". It matches the Rfam family "Bacterial small subunit ribosomal RNA", at positions 509 to 807 of the family's 1533-position model. The record is from RNAcentral.